UCCUUAUUAUUCUAACAAAACAAUCUUUAUCAAUCAACAUGAGAAAGUGGUUUCAAAAAAUGUAAAAGUUUUUGAAAAAUGUUUUUGAAGAUUCUAACAAAACAAUCUUCCACCGGUUUCAAAAAAUGUAAAAGUUUCUCGUUUGUCCAUAACCCGCCACAUGAAGAUCAUCCAUUCUUCUUCUUUCCAGGUUGGUUAAGGUUGGCUUAUUCGUUUGCCAUUUUUUUUUGGGUUUUAGCAACUCCCCAGAUUGGCAAUAUUUUUUUUUGAAGACAUGGUUGAAAGUUAUUGUAACAUUUAUAUUUUCAGUUUUUUUUUUUUUUUUUUUUUUUUUUGUAAUGCUACCAUUUAAUGGAUGUAAUGUUUAAUUGAAGAGAAAGUAAUUAAGAGGGCUUGAAGAGGUUACAAACACCAUGACCGCUAGAUGUCUUUUGCUAGGAUGAGAUUGGGGUGGUCGGAUCACAUGUUUGUCUCUCAAAAUGUUAUCCGUGCGUCCAAGGCUCAAAAACCCUUGCAGUUUUGUAUUAUAGAUUACGAGGAUAAUC
Papaver somniferum (opium poppy) is the source of this 545-nucleotide long non-coding RNA. RefSeq lists it as uncharacterized. NCBI's taxonomy places the organism in Eukaryota, Viridiplantae, Streptophyta, Magnoliopsida, Ranunculales, Papaveraceae. The transcript is spliced from 3 exons. The record is from RefSeq and is a predicted model, not a curated record.